GACGAACGCUGGCGGCGUGCUUAACACAUGCAAGUCGAACGGAAAGGCCCUGCUUUUGUGGGGUGCUCGAGUGGCGAACGGGUGAGUAACACGUGAGUAACCUGCCCUUGACUUUGGGAUAACUUCAGGAAACUGGGGCUAAUACCGGAUAGGAGCUCCUGCUGCAUGGUGGGGGUUGGAAAGUUUCGGCGGUCGGGGAUGGACUCGCGGCUUAUCAGCUUGUUGGUGGGGUAGUGGCUUACCAAGGCUUUGACGGGUAGCCGGCCGGAGAGGGUGACCGGCCACAUUGGGACUGAGAUACGGCCCAGACUGCUACGGGAGGCAGUAGUGGGGAAUAUUGCACAAUGGGCGGGAGCCUGAUGCAGCAACGCCGCGUGCGGGAUGACGGCCUUCGGGUUGUAAACCGCUUUCGCCUGUGACGAAGCGUGAGUGACGGUAAUGGGUAAAGAAGCACCGGCUAACUACGUG
This 468-nucleotide ribosomal RNA is filed under the name uncultured bacterium. Its description in RNAcentral is "partial 16S ribosomal RNA". It matches the Rfam family "Bacterial small subunit ribosomal RNA", at positions 28 to 507 of the family's 1533-position model. The record is from RNAcentral.